GGCCGCGGCGGACAAAGAGCCCCGGCGAGCGGCCCCAGCCGGAGCAGCGCCCGAGGGUCCCCGGGCAGCGCCCCCGCUGGCCGGCUCCCACCCGCCCCGUUCGGGAAUCAACAUAACAAAAGAGGACUCCUGUUUCUCAAUCAAAUAAAGCUCAGGAAAUUCGCAGCAGUGACCUAUGGGAACAGCAGUGAUCUACCAGGGGGAUAGUUGAAUCUCUCCAGAGUAACUAAAGAAGAGGUACAAAGCAAACACCCCAGCAGUCCAAUACAACUAUGGACUGUAGCUGCUUAAAGCUCCUUACAACUUUGUUGUUAAAUAAAGCAGAAGCAUGACAUGAA
This is a long non-coding RNA of Strigops habroptila (Kakapo), 338 nucleotides long. RefSeq lists it as uncharacterized. NCBI's taxonomy places the organism in Eukaryota, Metazoa, Chordata, Aves, Psittaciformes, Psittacidae. The transcript is spliced from 2 exons. The record is from RefSeq and is a predicted model, not a curated record.